UACUAUUUCAAGUACAAAUAGUUUCUUCUUCCUGCAGUUUUUUGGCCCAAAGACAAAGACGGUUCAUGAUAUCGUCAUCUCAGGGCCAAGUCUUUUCACGGUCAGAGCAAGGAAGGAGAAGGACGAAGCUUUCGUGUACUGUUUGGGGUAUCUCAGAACACUGUUCAUGCAGUGAUUUGGUUUUCCACUCCUAUAAAUACUCCUUUGCUUUUCUAGAGUGUGUGUUCAUGCAGUGUUCUCAUGGUUAAUCUCUUCAUUCUUCUCUUGGUUGCUUCAUUGAUCUUGGCUGUGAAACGUGAACGCAGCAAAUGGUGUAUCACAUUGUUACACUUACUGCACAUGCGAUGGUUCUUCUAUGGAGAAAAUGAGAUGAAAAUGAAGAUGGGAGAGUUGAAUGAGGUUAUAUCAAAUUUGAGGAUGAUGAUUUCCUCUUUAGAAGAGAGAAUUACAAAGGAAGAACGAGAUAAAUUGCCAGGAAGCUAUUGAUUGUUAUAGAAAAGAAAAGGAUGCCAAAGUGAAGCUGAGAAGAUGCAAGCUUCACUUUCAACUGAGCUUGACAAAGUUCGGUAUGAGAAAUAAGCUGUUGAGAAGAAGGUAAUGCUAUGUUCUAAUUAGGAAAAUUUAUAGUUACCAGUUAAAAAUAUUGAAGCCCCCAAUUCCGACAAGAGUUAUUGCCCUCUGAUUAUUAUUCAGGCUAUUUCAAAUGAGACCUGUACAAGAGAUCAUAAGAGUAUAAUAUGAACCUACAACAGUACAAUAGUCGCCUUCAGUCAGAUCUUGAAACAACUUAUGAGGCACAUAAACGACUAGAAACAGAGAAAUCAACUAUUGUUGAGAACCUUAGCAAUGUAAGAGGGCACAAUAAGGCAUUGCAGGAGCAGUUGUCAUCUCUUAAGGCUUCACAAGAUGAGGCUACUAAGCAAAAUGAAAUUUUAGCAAAUGAACUCAAAUGCCUCAGAGAAGAAUUAAAGCAAAUUAGAGAUGAUCGUGAUCAUCAACAGGCCAAGUACAUUCUAUAACUGGAGAAGUAGCAAAAUACAAAGAAUAUACAGAGAAAUCUUGGAUACCUUACAACUAAAACUAAUGCUCUUGUGGAGACAUGUACUUCUCAAAUGGAGCAAAUAAAUAUGCUGCAGCAGCAGUUGAUUGCUGAAAGGGAGAAGUUAAAGGUUAGAAGAGGGAAAAUCAAUGAGAAAUUAAGUAGUCCUGAAUGUUACAAGGUCAAGAGUCAAGACAUUUAGCAUCAACUUGAAGUGAAACCUUAAGUGGUCCUGAAUGUGUCAACUUUGAAGCGAAACCAUUAGUUGACGAAAAAGGUUCAAAUUUUUAGCAUACAUGUUUUGAUUUUGAUAAAAAAAAUUGAGGCUAUUUAAGUACAAGAAUAGUUUUUUUUUUCCCUUGGAAUUUCAGCUUUCAAUGGAGUACAUUUUUGGCUCAUAAUGCAUCUGUUUGAGUGUUGUCUACACCUUAGGCAUACUGGUUUUGUAAUUCGUAACUUACUAGAUUAUUGCUUUUAUUUUGUUUAACACAUAAUAUGCAUUUAUUUCCUGACUCUCCUUUGUCCUUGACUGCAGAGAAGCUAUGGUCUAGACUUAAGUUAUGUUUACUGAGAUUUUUGAAUUCAAAUAUGGUUGUCCUAUAUAUGAUGUGAGGUGACAUAUUUUAGAGAUGCCCCGAAGAUUCAAUAAAAGUGGUGAAAAGAAGAAACAUGAGAACCAAGGAAGAGAACUCGCUUCUGGAAAAUACAGUUGUAAAAUGUAUUUGUAUAAUUCAAAUACAUCCCAACAUUGAUGCCAAAUUUGUCUCAAACAUAGCUUAAGGAGAAUUUCAUUUUCGUCUGAUGGAAAAUAGAAGAGUUUAUUUUUCCCCAUUGUCUUGCUAACUUGUAAGUUUUAGAUAUUAGUCAUCCUUAAAAGCUUAAACUUUAAGAUUGUGCUUUUCUCUUGUGGGGAAAGUCUUGCAGUGCUCUAAGUUUUAGAUAUCAAUCAACCUGAAAUUUUAGUGGCAUGUAUGUUAGAUGAAUAUUUGUCUAUCACUUAGACCUUUCCUUGAAUUGUGGCACUUGUGUGUUUACAUAUUUGCUUGAAUGUAUUUAUUGUUAAUACUAUCCAAGGUUUGCUCUGCAUGUGGUACUUGAAUUUGUUGUGACUUUGCAUGUUGUUUAAUGUUGAGAGCAAUUAUAUGAUUGCUCCAUAUUUGUUCUUUUUAGAUACGGAUUGAAGAAUGAGUUUAUUUUGGUGACU
Long non-coding RNA from Lotus japonicus, 2243 nucleotides. RefSeq lists it as uncharacterized. NCBI's taxonomy places the organism in Eukaryota, Viridiplantae, Streptophyta, Magnoliopsida, Fabales, Fabaceae. The record is from RefSeq and is a predicted model, not a curated record. The transcript has 7 exons.